AAGCUGCCUUGCACAUUCCCUUCUCAUUCUGUGGAUUGCCCAUUUUCUUGCAAACCACAUUGUGGCUCAGAUGGACCUGUCUUUGUUAUCAUGAUUGAGAAUGAUAAGGUUCGUUCUUCAGAAAUUUUGCCCCCAUUUGGAUAAAUUAUAAAUGAUAUAUAUAUGUGUUGCAUGGACACUUUUAAGUAGGAUGGCCCGUGUUCGACACGUCUCGAAUAUCGACGCUACUCGGACACUGUCAUGGUCAUAUUUAAAAUAUUUUAACAAGAUAUAAAUGAAGAAUUUUAAAUAUUUUAAUCAGCGCGUCGACGUAAAUGAUGUUUGACCCAGGGUUUUUAGCGUUCAAGGGGUCACAUUCUUAUCCCACCUUCCCAUUAGUAUUGUUUGGAACUUGAGUGUAUCAUACUUAUACGUACAGAAUCUUUCUCGAGUUCCAGGGAAUUUGUGUUCUUUGUGAAUUAGUUUUUUUAAAUUCAGUCAUUUGUCCAAUGGAUUUGUCAUGCUCGAUAUGACUACUGAUCUGGUGUUUGGAUUUUGCAGAUGUCCGUGCAGGAGCUCCCAGCAAAUUCAUCUGUUACGGAUCUGUUGGAAAGAACAGGUCGAGGCAGUUAUAGAUGGACUCCCUAUGGAUUUCCUCUGAAGGAAGAGUUGAGGCCGCGGCUGAACCAUGAACCAGUUAGUGAUCCCACCUGCAAGCUAAAAAUGGGUGAUGUGGUGGAAUUAACUCCGGCCAUCCCAGACAAGUCACUGACAGAAUACCGGGAGGAGAUUCAACGUAUGUAUGAUAGGGGCCUUAACAUAUCAAGCGCAGUGCCUGCUGCCAACACCAUGGCUAGGUUAAGUAGUUGACCCCUUUGGCUCCCCUGAUUGUAUUAUGCGAUUGAUACAAAAUCACGACUAGUUAUUCUGUAGAUAAACGAUAACGAUCUGUAAAGAACACCUUAUUGUUUGUUUAUGAAGGUAAACGAUCUUCUGAAACUGGCUAUUAUCUUUAACAAAUUUAGCAAUUGCAAUUAAGCUGAAGCUCUUAGUGAAUGUUAAAUCACGAACAAUUCCCAGCCUCUCUUCUUUAGUGAAUGAAGUGCAAGGCGUUGAUUCCUACCAAUUUUAUACGUAUAAAAUAAGCUAAAUAAUCUCUCUACUUAAUAGGGGAUUUGGCUUGCGAACUUCCAAUAACUCGACAAUUGACGUGAAAUAUUUGACAGGAACACCAAUUGAAACCAAAAGCCACAUUUUAAAUUUGUAAUAUCAUUAGCCACGGGGAAAAUGAACAGGUCUAAUCCUACCAUAUAGUAGGAGACAAAUGAACAAGGUCUGUAUAGAAGACGACCAUAAGUAAUCCGUUCAGGAAGCACGUCGAAACUACGUUGUUUUGACGUUGAAGCAAUACUGCCAUCGUACAAUUCACACACGCAUAUACACAGUUGUACACCCACACAGAGUGAGCUGAUUCACAUACAAAAAGAAACAAUUUAAUAUCUUCUCAUGUAAUUUUUUGACCUUCAAUUGUUUUAUUUGCUAUUUUUUUCGAGUCUGUUAAAAAACACGUAUCUGAUUGUAACGACUUUGGGGUUGUAUAUUUGUAUGGAUAACUUAAUAGUGGCCUCAAUUCCCGUAAUAGUUGGAUUGAACCCUGAUAAAGUAUGGAUAUUGUCAUGCAGUAAAAAUAUUUCUGGCAUAAUAUGAUGUUUCACUGUAUUUUUGUUGCCCUGGGAGUCUUCAAUGUAUAAUUUCUAACAUAUUAUCAAGUUAAUUACAUUGCUUUCCUGUUCCCCCAAAAAAAAAAUAAAAAAAAUCAUGCUAAUCUACCUCUUGCGGUGGUGUAAUUUUAUCUUCUGCAGAAAGAAGCUGAAUAUGGAUGAAAUUCAUGAUAUCCAUGGUUUGAGAUUGAUUGUCGAAACUGAGGAUGAUUGUUAUAAGGCUUUGAGAAUUGUUCACAAGCUAUGGGGUGAAAUACCUGGGAGGUUCAAGGAUUACAUAGUUUAUCCCAAGUUUAAUGGGUAUGCUAUUUCUAAAAGUUUUAAUGUCUUAUUCUACAUAUCAUUUGUUAUUAUACUUAAUUCAAACUCUAAAAUUUCAGGUACCGAUCUCUUCAUACAGUAGUGAUAGGUGAGGGUAUGGUUCCACUUGAAGUUCAAAUUCGAACAAAAGAGAUGCAUUUGCAAGCUGAGUAUGGAUUUGCUGCUCAUUGGAGAUACAAGGAAGGUGAUUGUGAACAUUCCUCUUUUGUGCUUCAGAUGGUUGAAUGGGCGCGUUGGGUUGUCACCUGGCAGUGUGAGGCUAUGAGCAAAGACAGGUCAUCCAUUAGCUUUGUUGACUCCAUGAAGCUGCCUUGCACAUUCCCUUCUCAUUCUGUGGAUUGCCCAUUUUCUUGCAAACCACAUUGUGGCUCAGAUGGACCUGUCUUUGUUAUCAUGAUUGAGAAUGAUAAGGUUCGUUCUUCAGAAAUUUUGCCCCCAUUUGGAUAAAUUAUAAAUGAUAUAUAUAUGUGUUGCAUGGACACUUUUAAGUAGGAUGGCCCGUGUUCGACACGUCUCGAAUAUCGACGCUACUCGGACACUGUCAUGGUCAUAUUUAAAAUAUUUUAACAAGAUAUAAAUGAAGAAUUUUAAAUAUUUUAAUCAGCGCGUCGACGUAAAUGAUGUUUGACCCAGGGUUUUUAGCGUUCAAGGGGUCACAUUCUUAUCCCACCUUCCCAUUAGUAUUGUUUGGAACUUGAGUGUAUCAUACUUAUACGUACAGAAUCUUUCUCGAGUUCCAGGGAAUUUGUGUUCUUUGUGAAUUAGUUUUUUUAAAUUCAGUCAUUUGUCCAAUGGAUUUGUCAUGCUCGAUAUGACUACUGAUCUGGUGUUUGGAUUUUGCAGAUGUCCGUGCAGGAGCUCCCAGCAAAUUCAUCUGUUACGGAUCUGUUGGAAAGAACAGGUCGAGGCAGUUAUAGAUGGACUCCCUAUGGAUUUCCUCUGAAGGAAGAGUUGAGGCCGCGGCUGAACCAUGAACCAGUUAGUGAUCCCACCUGCAAGCUAAAAAUGGGUGAUGUGGUGGAAUUAACUCCGGCCAUCCCAGACAAGUCACUGACAGAAUACCGGGAGGAGAUUCAACGUAUGUAUGAUAGGGGCCUUAACAUAUCAAGCGCAGUGCCUGCUGCCAACACCAUGGCUAGG
This 3161-nucleotide long non-coding RNA is filed under the name Olea europaea (common olive). Its description in RNAcentral is "long non-coding RNA (OEUR_LNC011131)". The record is from RNAcentral. Lineage: Eukaryota; Viridiplantae; Streptophyta; Magnoliopsida; Lamiales; Oleaceae.